CACGUAGGGCGCAAGCGUUGUCCGGAAUUAUUGGGCGUAAAGAGCUCGUAGGCGGUCUGUUACGUCUGCUGUGAAAACCCGGGGCUUAACCCUGGGCUUGCAGUGGAUACGGGCAGACUAGAGGCAGGUAGGGGAGAAUGGAAUUCCCGGUGUAGCGAUGAAAUGCGCAGAUAUCGGGAGGAACACCGGUGGCGAAGGCGGUUCUCUGGGCCUGACCUGACGCUGAGGAGCGAAAGCGUGGGGAGCGAACAGG
RNAcentral lists this ribosomal RNA (253 nucleotides) under uncultured bacterium. Its description in RNAcentral is "partial 16S ribosomal RNA". It matches the Rfam family "Bacterial small subunit ribosomal RNA", at positions 524 to 776 of the family's 1533-position model. The record is from RNAcentral.